Molecule: transfer RNA, 60 nt
Filed under: Strongyloides papillosus
Lineage: Eukaryota; Metazoa; Nematoda; Chromadorea; Rhabditida; Strongyloididae
Description: tRNA-Asp
Source: RNAcentral
AAAGCCUUAGUAUAAUUAUAGUAUAUCUCACUGUCAAUGAGAAGGUAGUUAAAGGCUUUA